UCUUCCUCUCGCCUCCUCCUUCUCUUCCUCUUCCGCUCCCUCCGCGUAGCCCCUCCACCUCCCUCCUCCUUCGACGGCGCCUGGUCCAGAUCGGGCUCAGGUCGUCGCCUGGUCCAGAUUAGGCUCAGGUCGUCUCCAUUGAGAGCAGGGGUGAACAGCGGGAAGCGGUGGGGAGAAGUGAGCGGCAGCCAACAGGGAGAGGCGGAGAGCCAUGACAUGGUGGACAGCGGGAAGCGGUGGGGAGAAGCGAGCGGCAGUCGACAGGGAGAGCCACGACGAUGGCCGGCUUCAGCUGCCACUUCCUCCCCUCGUCGGCGCCGCGAGGCCACUGAGCCCACGCCCGAGCUUCCCGUCCGUGAGCAAUCGCUUCGCCCACCGGCCGUCCCCAUCCGUGUGCUUCUUCUCGGGACGUCGAUGCCACGGAGCUCGUCAAGCUCCCUCUCUGCCGCUACAGGAGGAUUGGAUUGGAUUGGUUUGUACUUGCUCUAUUAUCUAUUUGAGAAUCUGAGAUGCGGCCCUCCAAAUCUUCGGCCCCAGAAGGAGGAUUUGAGAGUGGAGAAGGGUCACCUGAAUGUGAUUUGGAGGAAGGAGUUGUCCAGGAAUCAAAAUGUUAUUAUUUUACUAUUCUGCAGGGGAGAAUCUAAAGAUUAUUUGUUUCUUUUUAUGCCUGCAGAUCGUGUUUAGUGUUUGGGAUUCACACCCUGCAUUGAUAAGGUCUGAAUUUAACAUCCACUUUUAACACUGGGUUCCUCAAGUGUUUCAGUUUGUACUUUGCCGACGUACAAUCUAUUCGCCACAUUUUCUAGCACACUUAUUCCAACUGAAGUCAGCUCCUGCUUGCACUUCUCCACUGAGUGAAUGCUAAUAGUUCUAAAAAGAUAAACCACCCAUAGAAUUGGUUCUAAUUAGAUCCUCUGAAAGAUGCAAGUAGCUAGAGUACCUUAGUCCAUAGGAGUCCUGGAAUUGGUUCAGAAGUUCUUGAGUAAAUUGGAUCAGUGAGAAUAUUAAUUGAGUCGCUGCUCAAGAAACAAAUUAGAAUAACGACAAUGUAGCUAAUACCAUUUGUCCCUGCAUGAUGUAUUUUGAUCUCAAAUGCAUUUAUAUGGCUUGAUUUUUGCAGAGAUCUUGUCACCUGCGCCCUUGUUUGGUCGUACAUAAAAUUGUCAUCUUGCUUUAAAUUCAAGUGGUCAGGUCUUUGAUAGUACGCAUGGCUGAACCCACCUUUUGUUGAAUUUGGGAACCAUCUAAUAUAGCUAUUUUUUAAGAAGGAGCUUGAACAGAUCUCAGUAUAUGUUAAUUUUGUAGAAAAAGGAGCCUGACUGACUAGGUAAUUCCCAACGAACUGAAGCAGCUAAGCUUGCAGGCAUGUGUAGGCAUGUGAACUAUAAACAGAACCAAGUUCUGCAUAUAUUGUAUUUGCAGAAAAUGUUUUUGGCCUGUACGGUUCUAACAAAUUUGAGGUGAUAAAUUCUGAACACUAAAAGAAUUGGUUUUGUAGGACCAGUUUUCUUGUAUGACCUUGCACUACUGUAUUGAUUUUCUUGUACUUGCAUGGUCGGACUAAUAAUCAGCAAAGUACAUUACUAAUUCAAUAGGACUAAUUUAUUUGAACUAAAGCCUUAGUAUGUAUGUUCAUAAUAUGUGCAGAUCACCACAUGUAGACUAUUCAUUCCUUGCCAAACCGCACAUGCUAGCUAAUGUUUGAAGAUGACGUUGUAAAAAAUGCAUAAGCUAGGGAUGCCAUGGUGAUGCUGCUGGUCGAGAAGUACGCAUGUACUUCCUCCAGCCCAUAAUUUCAAUUUUAUCUUGUUGAAUGGCAAAUUUAUGCUUGGCUAGGUUCGGAUUCUGGCGUUUAGUGCAUCCGCACUAAACUGAUUGCUGGAUUUGGUAGGGGGUGAUAUCAUUUCGUUCAUGGGUGAACCUGAACACUGAUGUAGCUUCCCAGAUUCCUCUACGCUCCAGUCAUUCAUAUAUUUUGUGAUGCCUUAGUUCUAUCUUCAGGAAUAAAUUUAGCAUCAACACGGUGAUUUGAGAAUGCAAACAAGCACAAUAGGAUCUUCCAUGUCAAUUGGUAUAUUUAUCUCUCUCCUUUUAGAUUCCCUGCUAAAUGAAAUUUCCAAUGACGCUUGAUUAUGGUACAUGCUAAAGAAUUAGUGGUGGCAUUUGGUUAUUUUGUACAGUACUUCUGAACACUAAAAGAAUUAGCUUAUUCAAUUUCUUCCAUUGUUGUGCCCGCCACUGAUGUUCUCUAUGGUUCCCUUGGUUGCAGUUCCCUCCUUACCUGCCAAUGCUUCCUCCUGCCUUGCCUGCGUGUGUCCUCACCUUUGUUCAUCAAUUCGUGUGCAGGUAUGGAUUGGUGAUGUUUUUGACGCCCAUAGAUCCAUUACCUCGUGCAUGUGUAUUUUGUGUGCCAGUUUACCAGUUAGUGAGUGAUAAUGUCCGUAUGAAUGUUUCAUCGUUUAGCAAGUGAUCGGCAACAGGCAUCUCUUACUUUUGGAUUGAAGUGCAGAUCUUGCUAAAGAGUUGACCAUGGAGUCAUUUAUGUAUUCUUAUGCCCCAAUGCUUCAUUAAGUAUUCUUAUUAUGCAAUAUAAAAUUAUUUCUUACCGUCUUCUAUUGUUUCCUCUGUUUUUCUCAGUUAUUCAGAGAACCCCACAUGUUACAUGAAUUCUAGACUACUUUCCUAGAGGUAGUUGUUAGAAUCAUCUUCUUGAAUUUGCCUGCUUAGCAUCUAAUAUUUCACACUCGCCAAUUGUAAUAUCUCAUGCUUGCCAAUUUUUAGAAUCAGGUUCUUGAGUUUGCUUGCUUAACAGUGUCCCUGUGCAAUUGCUCACCAACCUCACCAAUUGUGAGUUUGUCCCACGUAGUGGAGUUUCUGUGAGUUUUUAUAGUCUAUAAAUUCUUGGAAGUUCUCUUGUUGCUGCUAUAAUGUGGGUGUGUUCGGCUUCCUUCUUCAUUUAAGGUGAAUCCUUGCUUCCAGGUUGGCCUAUGAAAUGAUGUAGUUUCUGCUGGAAAAUAAGUUGUUAUGCAAUUAUAGUUAGGUUGCCAAUUUUCCUUCAUAACUGCAUUUAAUGGUGGCUGUUAUGCUCACUUUGCUCAAAGAAAGGUUGUCUAGCCAAGCUACUUUGUGAUUUAAGAAAUAGGCUGACACCAAAUCAGUAAUCCCCGACUUCUGCUUUGUUGGCCGAAAUUUACUAAUUUUGUUUUUCUUGUUAUCUUUAGCCAUUCCAAAACAUUUAUCUGGUUCUGUAGAAUUACAGACCAUAGAAUUAUAGCUGGCCAUAUUUUUGAAUGCGUGAACCUCACAUAGAUAUCAUGCUAAUGUAGUUUGACGGACGUUGUAAAACCAAUGGAUAGGCAUCGUCUUCUACUAAGGCUCCUUUCACCCUUCUUUAGAACCCAACAAGCAUUCAUCAAAAAAUUAAAGAUCUUGGUUGGUGAUUCGUUUCAAUGGCCGGUAUAGUAAGGCUACAUUAAUUAUCAUAUUAUUUUUCAUUUCUUUUUUGCUUGCCCUUGUUUCACAACCUAAUACUGAUUGAUCAGGUACAUUGCAAUGAGUGCUUACUUAUGUUUUGUCUCCUGUUAUUUUUUGAUUCCAGUCUUCAUACUUUCAGACACCUUUGAUAAUAUAGGAAGAAGAAAGUAUUCGCUCCAGACGAAGAUGUCUAGCUUUCUUGUGUGCUAUAACAUUAAUCAGUGCAUCGGGCCCAACAUUUUCUAUCAUUGGAACCUUGAUGAUUUAUAUCAUUUGAACAUAAUCUAACCCCUCUGAUUUUUGUCAGUACAUGAUUGUACACCUCCUAUGCCCGCUUAAUUGUGUGUUCAUUUUGUUAAUCAAGAAGCAUCUGAUUUUAUGGAUGGGUACGCUAAAAACAUCUGUGCAUAGCGUAAUGCUCCAGCAUGACCGCUUCAUGUGUUGCCUCGAGUCGCGCAGCCACUACGCUCCCGCCGAGGCGGAGGCAGCUGCCACUCUCGACGCCCUCCGUUGCACGCUCUCGCCGGCGGCAUUUGCAAAGCCUUGUCACCGCGCUGCAAGUGUUGCCCCCCUCCUCCCCAAGGGCAAGGUGAAGAAAGGUGCCUGUGUGGUUCUUCUGCAGCUCACAGCGAGGAUUGUUGUGUCCAACCUGCACAAUAAUGCCAAGAAGUCCUUGGAGACGUAAGCCACGACGCAUGUUUCUGCCAUGAUUUCCUUCAGUUGGUUUUCGUGGAUUUAGGUGUUGAAAAAUUAUGGGAUGUAGAUGCAGGAUUAAGGACAUGUACCUGCACUACAACGAGAGAUCUAGGUUGCUUCUUUGUGGCUUCCAAACUUGAAAUUUUUGUUUGGAAGUUAGUUUAGUUUUUUGUUGUGGAUUCACAUCUUCUCACAUGUACCAUCCUCUUAGACCUUUAGAUUUCCAAAAAAACUAAAUGAAGAUAUGGUGGUAUGGUCUCAAUAGUACAACUUAAAGCCUUGCAUUCUUUA
Long non-coding RNA from Triticum dicoccoides, 4461 nucleotides. RefSeq lists it as uncharacterized. The record is from RefSeq and is a predicted model, not a curated record. Lineage: Eukaryota; Viridiplantae; Streptophyta; Magnoliopsida; Poales; Poaceae. The transcript has 2 exons.